AGACCAAGGGUUCCUGUCCAACGUUAAUCGGGGCAGGGUGAGUCGACCCCUAAGGCGAGGCCGAAAGGCGUAGUCGAUGGGAAACAGGUUAAUAUUCCUGUACUUGGUGUUACUGCGAAGGGGGGACGGAGAAGGCUAUGUUAGCCGGGCGACGGUUGUCCCGGUUUAAGCAUGUAGGCUGAUUGUCCAGGCAAAUCCGGAUAAUCAAGGCUGAGGUGUGAUGACGAGGCACUACGGUGCUGAAGUAACAAAUGCCCUGCUUCCAGGAAAAGCCUCUAAGCAUCAGGUAACAUCAAAUCGUACCCCAAACCGACACAGGUGGUCAGGUAGAGAAUACCAAGGCGCUUGAGAGAACUCGGGUGAAGGAACUA
RNAcentral lists this ribosomal RNA (371 nucleotides) under Klebsiella pneumoniae. Its description in RNAcentral is "Large Subunit Ribosomal RNA; lsuRNA; LSU rRNA". It matches the Rfam family "Bacterial large subunit ribosomal RNA", at positions 1342 to 1715 of the family's 2925-position model. Lineage: Bacteria; Pseudomonadati; Pseudomonadota; Gammaproteobacteria; Enterobacterales; Enterobacteriaceae. RNAcentral also lists the same sequence under 1 other name. The record is from RNAcentral.